UCGAGCGGUAACAGAAAGUAGCUUGCUACUUUGCUGACGAGCGGCGGACGGGUGAGUAAUGCUUGGGAACAUGCCUUGAGGUGGGGGACAACAGUUGGAAACGACUGCUAAUACCGCAUAAUGUCUACGGACCAAAGGGGGCUUCGGCUCUCGCCUUUAGAUUGGCCCAAGUGGGAUUAGCUAGUUGGUGAGGUAAUGGCUCACCAAGGCGACGAUCCCUAGCUGGUUUGAGAGGAUGAUCAGCCACACUGGGACUGAGACACGGCCCAGACUCCUACGGGAGGCAGCAGUGGGGAAUAUUGCACAAUGGGCGCAAGCCUGAUGCAGCCAUGCCGCGUGUGUGAAGAAGGCCUUCGGGUUGUAAAGCACUUUCAGUCAGGAGGAAAGCUUGGUGGUUAAUACCCGUCAUGUGUGACGUUACUGACAGAAGAAGCACCGGCUAACUCCGUGCCAGCAGCCGCGGUAAUACGGAGGGUGCGAGCGUUAAUCGGAAUUACUGGGCGUAAAGCGUACGCAGGCGGUUUGUUAAGCGAGAUGUGAAAGCCCCGGGCUCAACCUGGGAACUGCAUUUCGAACUGGCAAACUAGAGUGUGAUAGAGGGUGGUAGAAUUUCAGGUGUAGCGGUGAA
RNAcentral lists this ribosomal RNA (628 nucleotides) under Pseudoalteromonas citrea. RNAcentral's name for it is "bacterial SSU rRNA". It matches the Rfam family "Bacterial small subunit ribosomal RNA", at positions 62 to 685 of the family's 1533-position model. Lineage: Bacteria; Pseudomonadati; Pseudomonadota; Gammaproteobacteria; Alteromonadales; Pseudoalteromonadaceae. The record is from RNAcentral.